CGUUUCGAAAGGAACGCUAAUACCGCAUACGUCCUACGGAGAAAGCAGGGACCUUCGGGCCUUGCGCUAUCAGAUGAGCCUAGGUCGGAUUAGCUAGUUGGUGAGGUAAUGGCUCACCAAGGCGACGAUCCGUAACUGGUCUGAGAGGAUGAUCAGUCACACUGGAACUGAGACACGGUCCAGACUCCUACGGGAGGCAGCAGAA
This 205-nucleotide ribosomal RNA is filed under the name uncultured Pseudomonas sp. RNAcentral's name for it is "partial 16S ribosomal RNA". It matches the Rfam family "Bacterial small subunit ribosomal RNA", at positions 147 to 354 of the family's 1533-position model. Lineage: Bacteria; Pseudomonadati; Pseudomonadota; Gammaproteobacteria; Pseudomonadales; Pseudomonadaceae. The record is from RNAcentral.